This 253-nucleotide ribosomal RNA is filed under the name uncultured bacterium. RNAcentral's name for it is "partial 16S ribosomal RNA". It matches the Rfam family "Bacterial small subunit ribosomal RNA", at positions 524 to 776 of the family's 1533-position model. The record is from RNAcentral.
UACGUAGGGACCAAGCGUUGUUCGGAUUUACUGGGCGUAAAGGGCGCGUAGGCGGCAAUUCAAGUCAGUUGUGAAAUCUCCGAGCUUAACUCGGAACGGUCAACUGAUACUGUUUUGCUAGAGUGCAGAAAGGGCAACCGGAAUUCUUGGUGUAGCGGUGAAAUGCGUAGAUAUCAAGAGGAACACCUGAGGCGAAGGCGGGUUGCUAGGCUGACACUGACGCUGAGGAGCGAAAGCGUGGGGAGCGAACAGG